Molecule: ribosomal RNA, 253 nt
Filed under: uncultured bacterium
Lineage: Bacteria
Description: partial 16S ribosomal RNA
Rfam family: Bacterial small subunit ribosomal RNA
Source: RNAcentral
UACAGAGGGUGCAAGCGUUGUUCGGAAUUACUGGGCGUAAAGGGCGUGUAGGCGGUUUAACAAGUCAGAUGUGAAAGCCCGGGGCUUAACUCCGGAAGUGCAUUUGAAACUGUUAGGCUUGAGUUCAGUAGAGGUUGGCGGAAUUCCUAGUGGAGAGGUGAAAUUCGUAGAUAUUAGGAGGAACACCGGUGGCGAAGGCGGCCAACUGGGCUGACACUGACGCUGAGGCGCGAGAGCGUGGGUAGCAAACAGG